AGAGUUUGAUCAUGGCUCAGAACGUACGCUGGCGGCACGCCUAAUACAUGCAAGUCGAACGAAGUAGCAAUACUUAGUGGCAGACGGGUGAGUAACAUGUGGGUAUCUUCCCUUUGGUGAGGAAUAACACGAGGAAACUUGUGCUAAUACCUCAUAAGUCUUUACGGAGAAAGCUUUAUGCGCCAAUGGAUGAGCCCGCACUUGAUUAGUUUGUUGGUGGGGUAAUGGCCUACCAAGACAAUGAUCAAUAGCUGAUUUGAGAGGAUGAUCAGCCACAUUGGGACUGAGACACGGCCCAAACUUCUACGGAAGGCAGCAGUAGGGAAUCUUGCACAAUGGAGGAAACUCUGAUGCAGCGAUGCCGCGUGAGUGAAGAAGGCCUUUGGGUUGUAAAGCUCUUUCGUCGGGGAAGAAAAUGACUGUACCCGAAUAAGAAGGUCCGGCUAACUUCGUGCCAGCAGCCGCGGUAAUACGAAGGGACCUAGCGUAGUUCGGAAUUACUGGGCUUAAAGAGUUCGUAGGUGGUUGAAAAAGUUGGUGGUGAAAUCCCAGAGCUUAACUCUGGAACUGCCAUCAAAACUUUUCAGCUAGAGUAUGAUAGAGGAAAGCAGAAUUUCUAGUGUAGAGGUGAAAUUCGUAGAUAUUAGAAAGAAUACCAAUUGCGAAGGCAGCUUUCUGGAUCAUUACUGACACUGAGGAACGAAAGCAUGGGUAGCGAAGAGGAUUAGAUACCCUCGUAGUCCAUGCCGUAAACGAUGUGUGUUAGACGUUGGAAAUUUAUUUUCAGUGUCGCAGCGAAAGCGAUAAACACACCGCCUGGGGAGUACGACCGCAAGGUUAAAACUCAAAUGAAUUGACGGGGACCCGCACAAGUAGUGGAGCAUGUGGUUUAAUUCGAAGAUACGCGCAGAACCUUACCAACACUUGACAUGUUCGUCGCGACUCUAAGAGAUUAGAGUUUUCGGUUCGGCCGGACGAAACACAGGUGCUGCAUGGCUGUCGUCAGCUCGUGUCGUGAGAUGUUGGGUUAAGUCCCGCAACGAGCGCAACCCUCACUUUUAGUUGCCAUCAUUAAGUUGGGCACUCUGAAAGAACUGCCAGUGAUAAGCUGGAGGAAGGUGGGGAUGACGUCAAGUCCUCAUGGCCCUUACGUGUUGGGCUACACACGUGCUACAAUGGUAUCUACAACAGGAAGCAAAACUGCGAGGUUAAGCAAAUCCUUAAAAGAUACCUCAGUUCGGAUUGCACUCUGCAACUCGAGUGCAUGAAGCUGGAAUUACUAGUAAUCGUGGAUCAGCGUGCCACGGUGAAUGCGUUCCCGGGUCUUGUACACACCGCCCGUCACACCAUGGGAGUUGGUUCUACCUUAAGGCAAGGUUUAAAACCCUUGACCACGGUAUAGUCAGCGACUGGGGUGAAGUCGUAACAAGGUAGCCGUA
This 1439-nucleotide ribosomal RNA is filed under the name uncultured bacterium. RNAcentral's name for it is "bacterial SSU rRNA". It matches the Rfam family "Bacterial small subunit ribosomal RNA". The record is from RNAcentral.